UACGUAGGGUGCAAGCGUUAAUCGGAAUUACUGGGCGUAAAGCGCACGUAGGCGGCGCUGUAAGUCGGAUGUGAAAUCCCCGGGCUUAACCUGGGAACUGCAUUCGAGACUGCAGUGCUCGAGUAUGGAAGAGGAAGGCGGAAUUCCAGGUGUAGCGGUGAAAUGCGUAGAUAUCUGGAGGAACAUCAGUGGCGAAGGCGGCCUUCUGGUCCAAUACUGACGCUCAGGUGCGAAAGCGUGGGGAGCAAACAGG
Molecule: ribosomal RNA, 253 nt
Filed under: uncultured bacterium
Lineage: Bacteria
Description: partial 16S ribosomal RNA
Rfam family: Bacterial small subunit ribosomal RNA
Source: RNAcentral